GUGGAUUAGAUACCCGGGUAGUCCACGCCCUAAACGAUGUCAACUAGGUGUUGGGUGGGUAAAACCAUUUAGUACCGUAGCUAACGCGUGAAGUUGACCGCCUGGGGAGUACGGCCGCAAGGUUAAAACUCAAAGGAAUUGACGGGGACCCGCACAAGCGGUGGAUGAUGUGGAUUAAUUCGAUGCAACGCGAAAAACCUUACCUACCCUUGACAUGUCUGGAAUCCUGAAGAGAUUUGGGAGUGCCCGAAAGGGAACCGGAACACAGGUGCUGCACGGCCGUCGCCAGCU
RNAcentral lists this ribosomal RNA (291 nucleotides) under uncultured bacterium. Its description in RNAcentral is "partial 16S ribosomal RNA". It matches the Rfam family "Bacterial small subunit ribosomal RNA", at positions 773 to 1060 of the family's 1533-position model. The record is from RNAcentral.